AGUGAACGCUGGCGGCGGGCCUAACACAUGCGAGUCGAGCGGCAGCGCGGGGGCAACCCUGGCGGCGAGCGGCGGACGGGUGAGGAAUUCGUCGGAAUCUGCCUUUUUGUUGGGGAUAACGUAGGGAAACUUACGCUAAUACCGCAUACGUCCUACGGGAGAAAGGGGGGGACCGCAAGUCCUCGCGCAGAAAGAUGAGCCGACGACCGAUUAGCUAGUUGGUGGGGUAAAGGCCCACCAAGGCGACGAUCGGUAGCUGGUCUGAGAGGAUGACCAGCCACACUGGGACUGAGACACGGCCCAGACUCCUACGGGAGGCAGCAGUGGGGAAUAUUGGACAAUGGGCGCAAGCCUGAUCGAGCAAUGCCGCGUGUGUGAAGAAGGCCUUCGGGUUGUAAAGCUCUUUUGUCCGGAAAGAACACCCUGGAGCUAAAACCUUCGGGGGAUGACGGUACCGGAAGAAUAAGCACCGGCUAACUACGUG
RNAcentral lists this ribosomal RNA (484 nucleotides) under uncultured bacterium. Its description in RNAcentral is "partial 16S ribosomal RNA". It matches the Rfam family "Bacterial small subunit ribosomal RNA", at positions 30 to 507 of the family's 1533-position model. The record is from RNAcentral.